Silurus meridionalis is the source of this 424-nucleotide long non-coding RNA. RefSeq lists it as uncharacterized. The record is from RefSeq and is a predicted model, not a curated record. The transcript has 3 exons. Lineage: Eukaryota; Metazoa; Chordata; Actinopteri; Siluriformes; Siluridae.
CGCGUCUACUGUACUCGCAACACUCAGCUCAGCUGAUUUCCAACAGGCUUUGAACUGCGACUGUCAAGAGGAAACGGAACCCCUGAAAUGCCUUAUAUCUCCAUGACAACAGGGACACUGAGCCCACAGGGAUUUGCAUCGACAAACGGCAUUGGCAUUUUCAUCAUGUAGCAUUUUAUGAGGGAAGUAUUUGAAUUUGACAAUUGACCAUGACAUUCAGGACCAAUCGUACCAAACACCGGCUACGUCACAAUUCAUCUUAUAUAACUGAUUGACACUAUUAAUAGAAUACUCCUCUCAUUAAUUACUUCUUACUUCUGGAUGGUAGUUCUCUUCAACCAUAAGCUGAGAAUGGCUUCACAUGAACAGCUUAAAGAUCCAUGGGGUUUCUCUGGAGGGUUAAACUCAAGAACCAUGAAGAUGG